GGCAAGGUAGUCGCGGUGCAGAAACAACCAGGAGGUUGGCUUAGAAGCAGCCAUCCUUUAAAGAAAGCGUAACAGCUCACUGGUCUAAAUAAGGGUUCCUGCGGCGAAGAUGUAACGGGGCUCAAGACGUGCACCGAAGCUUAGGGUGUGGAUUUAUCCACGCGGUAGCGGAGCGUUCCGUAAGCGAGUGAAGCGGGAGGGUAACCGACCGUGGACGUAUCGGAAGUGCGAAUGCUGAC
This 239-nucleotide ribosomal RNA is filed under the name Pycnococcus provasolii. RNAcentral's name for it is "partial Bacterial large subunit ribosomal RNA". It matches the Rfam family "Bacterial large subunit ribosomal RNA", at positions 1066 to 1301 of the family's 2925-position model. The record is from RNAcentral. Lineage: Eukaryota; Viridiplantae; Chlorophyta; Pseudoscourfieldiophyceae; Pseudoscourfieldiales; Pycnococcaceae.